This 252-nucleotide ribosomal RNA is filed under the name uncultured bacterium. RNAcentral describes it as "partial 16S ribosomal RNA". It matches the Rfam family "Bacterial small subunit ribosomal RNA", at positions 524 to 776 of the family's 1533-position model. The record is from RNAcentral.
UACGUAGGGAGCGAGCGUUAUCCGGAAUUAUUGGGCGUAAAGGGUGCGUAGGCGGUUUGCUAAGUCUAAAAUUAAAGCCCGGAGCUUAACUCCGGUUCGUUUUAGAAACUGGCAGACUUGAGUAUAGUAGAGGCAAGUGGAAUUUCUAGUGUAGCGGUUAAAUGCGUAGAUAUUAGAAGGAACACCAGUGGCGAAGGCGACUUGCUGGGCUAUUACUGACGCUGAGGCACGAAAGCGUGGGGAGCAAAUAGG